This 584-nucleotide long non-coding RNA is filed under the name Lathyrus oleraceus (garden pea). Its description in RNAcentral is "Pisum sativum (pea) long non-coding RNA (PSAT_LNC039591)". Lineage: Eukaryota; Viridiplantae; Streptophyta; Magnoliopsida; Fabales; Fabaceae. The record is from RNAcentral.
UGGAAUCGGGCGCGAAAGACAAAACUUUCUUGAGCACAAGGUCACCUUCUCGGAACACGCGGGGCUUGACCUUCUUAUCGAAUGCUUUCUUCAUUCUCUGCUGAUAUAACUGACCAUGACACAUGGCAGUUAAUCGCUUCUCUUCAAUUAAAUUCAACUGGUCAUAACGACUCUGAAUCCAUUCAGCAUCAGUCAACUAGGGACUUGAGGGUAUACUUUCUUUUUUCUUUUGGAAAAAUUUUGAAAAAAAUUUCCUGGUUUUUGAUUUUUUCUUCUUUUUCAACCCUCUUUCUUCCUCUUUUUUUUUAUUAUUUUUUUUAUUUUUUAUUUUUAUUUUUUAUUAUUGCAUUUGCAAUGCCCCAGUUUGACUGUUGCUGGGUUCUUCAGACGCAGUUGAAUGAUUUGUUUUUCAUUGCUCAAGCGCUCGGGUAAUCUCGUCAGGAAUCCCCUUCAACAUCAUCUUCCUCUGCCUCAGAUACAAGGACUUCAAGAUUGGGAGAUGGCGUUGGAUCAUUAUGUUCAAUGGGUUUAGAAAUCCCUGCAUAAUGAUUCUGGAUAAUGAAAAGCUUUUGAAUUUAAACAAG